Molecule: ribosomal RNA, 376 nt
Filed under: uncultured organism
Description: partial 16S ribosomal RNA
Rfam family: Bacterial small subunit ribosomal RNA
Source: RNAcentral
GGAGGGUGCGAGCGUUAAUCGGAAUUACUGGGCGUAAAGCGCGCGUAGGCGGCGGUGAUCAGUCGGGAUGUGUAAAAGCCCUGGGCUUAACCUGGGAAUUGCACUCGAUACUGUCAGGCUAGAGUAUGGGAGAGGGAAGUGGAAUUUCCGGUGUAGCGGUGAAAUGCGUAGAUAUCGGAAGGAACACCAGUGGCGAAGGCGACUUCCUGGCCCAAUACUGACGCUCAGGUGCGAAAGCGUGGGUAGCGAACAGGAUUAGAUACCCUGGUAGUCCACGCCCGUAAACGAUGAGAACUAGAUGUCGGGAGGAUUUACCUCUCGGUGUCGCAGCUAACGCGUUAAGUUCUCCGCCUGGGGAGUACGCCGGCAAACGGUA